GGAGAUGGAUUCUGAGACACGAAUCCAGGCCCUACGGGGUGCAGCAGGCGCGAAAACUUUACAAUGCUGGCAACAGCGAUAAGGGAACCUCGAGUGCCAGGUUACAAAUCUGGCUGUCGAGAUGCCUAAAAAGCAUUUCAUAGCAAGGGCCGGGCAAGACCGGUGCCAGCCGCCGCGGUAACACCGGCGGCUCGAGUGGUAACCGUUAUUAUUGGGUCUAAAGGGUCUGUAGCCGGCCGGAUAAGUCUCUUGAGAAAUCUGGCAGCUUAACUGUCAGGCUUUCAGGAGAUACUGUCUGGCUCGAGGCCGGGAGAGGUGAGAGGUACUUCAGGGGUAGGGGUGAAAUCUUGUAAUCCUUGAAGGACCACCAGUGGCGAAGGCGUCUCACCAGAACGGACCUGACGGCAAGGGACGAAAGCUAGGGGCACGAACCGGAUUAGAUACCCGGGUAGUCCUAGCCGUAAACGAUACUCGCUAGGUGUCGGCCACGGUGCGACCGUUGUCGGUGCCGUAGGGAAGCCGUGAAGCGAGC
This 532-nucleotide ribosomal RNA is filed under the name uncultured archaeon. Its description in RNAcentral is "bacterial SSU rRNA". It matches the Rfam family "Archaeal small subunit ribosomal RNA", at positions 292 to 824 of the family's 1478-position model. The record is from RNAcentral.